Molecule: long non-coding RNA, 1526 nt
Organism: Quercus robur (English oak)
Lineage: Eukaryota; Viridiplantae; Streptophyta; Magnoliopsida; Fagales; Fagaceae
Exons: 2
Source: RefSeq, a predicted model, not a curated record
CCUUCUUGGUUCAUUUUUCUUUACUCUUUCUUUUCUUCUUUCUUUGCUCCUUGCUUUUCUUUCUUUGCUUUUCGAUCGGCAACACCUUACUUCUCAUAACAGCUCUCAUUUUCUUGCACUAAAAAUCAUAGAUAUCUCUCUCUAAGAAGGAAUCAAGCUCUUACUAAAGUUUAGCUUCAGUUUGUGGGAAGAUAAUCAAAACCUCAUUUGAUUUUGGGUAUUGAGAACGAGAACAUGGACAGUUGAGCUUUCGCGUCUUCUGUUUUCAAGUAAGGGAUUUAUGACAUGUGCUUUUGAUAAGUAUAAAGAUUAUUUAGAAAAGUAUUAUGCAUUAAAGUUUUUAAUUAGAGAUAUUACAUAUAUGCAUGAUUUAAGUAAAAUAUGUGUUCGUGAGUUGUUCAAUCUUAUAUACAUAAUAAUUUUAACAUAUUGAUACUAUUAUUUAUAUCACAAACAUAAUAUUUAAGAAUGGAGUGGAUAUGCUACUGUUGUGAAAAAAUUAUGUCAAAUCAAAGUUAUCAGAAAAAUAUAGUUUUCAGUUAUUCCAUUGUUAUAAUCUGAAUUUAAGCAAUAGGGGUUAUAGUACUGGUAUUUCCAUGGAGAUUCUGAUUGGCCAUUAAAAGUGGGACUGGCUCUGCUGUACUUACCCUUGUUGGUAACAGCCAACUUGUGGAGGAUGUCAACCUACCCUUAUGGUUGAAAAUAUGUAUUAUGAUAUGAUUCCGGAAUUACUUAGCAUUGUGGGGAAUGCUGGAUGCCUGACACUCUAUGCUAGAAGCCUCCCAAAUUUGUGACAGACUUACAAUUGAAUUAACUAAUAUGUAUUACAAAUGAGCUAUUAAAUUAUUUGGAAAUUAUAAGAAAAUUAUGAUGAUAAGAAAGGUAUAUUGAAUGUGUUAUAAGUCUGAUGAGAAGUUAUGAUAAAAUAUUUUAUAUUCUAUUCAAAGUUAAGAUUACUGAAUUAUGUUUAAGUUCCUUAUUUUGUCCUUUUAUUAUGAUAUGAAAGGAAAAUAAAGUAUUUUCAUCUAAAAGCUCAUAAGUUAGUUCAAGAGCAAUAUGAAUAGUAUGAAGGCUAUUUUAUCAAAGCUGACAUAUCCAUAAAAUAUUUUAUUUACAUGUAUUCUUAUUAAAGGCCUAUGGAGCUUAAAACCUUACUGGGCUUCGCAGCUCAUCCUAUUAUAUUUCAGUGCAUAAAUUCUUCCUGGAAGCAGCAAGAGUAUUAGAGGUGGCAAGGAUUCUAUGAUUUUCGUUUGUUAGAAUGUAGAGUUUUUUUGGUUAUAUAGUAGUUUUAGCUCUUUUAUUGUAUAGAAGGAAUCAAGAUGUACUUGAUCCUUGAGCACAAAUGUUAUUUAGUACCUUAGUUUAUUUUGAACUCUAAUUGUAUGUCUUUGGGGUUAUGUUUGUAAUAAGAGUUUUGCUAAAUGUUUAGCUGUAUAAUAUUUACACGUAUAUCUUAAGUUUCAGCUAAGUGGCAAUCUUGCAAAGUUCAAAUGGAAUGAAUUUUCAAGGUUUUCAUCAUUUUUGUA